RNAcentral lists this long non-coding RNA (249 nucleotides) under Elaeis guineensis (African oil palm). RNAcentral's name for it is "long non-coding RNA (EGUI_LNC028976)". Lineage: Eukaryota; Viridiplantae; Streptophyta; Magnoliopsida; Arecales; Arecaceae. The record is from RNAcentral.
CAUAACCAGGUCAACACGAUUUCGAUACGAAUCUGUAUAAGUCCAAUACUAACAUGAAAAUUUCAUGUUGUGUCACGUGUCAUAUUAAAAAUUGCCACACCUGAAUGAACCUAAUUGAUUGAUGGAAGACAGAGUGACUUUUGUGAGGGAUUUGAACUUGAUAAGAUUAUGGAAGAGGUCAUUAUGGAAUUAACAUUGCUCGUUAGGGAAGAGGUCAACUUUGAAGUCCUUCACAUAGAUCAGCAUAGA